CGCUGUAGUAAAAAGCACUUGAGAUUCCUUUCCGUUUUCAUCAUUAGUGAACCUCAUAUGAAAAUAGCAUAGAAAGUAUGCAAACAUAGAAUUUCAUUCUUAUAUAUUUUCUAAUCUUUAGCUAAAUAAACCUUUUUCUCCCAAAUUCCCUUAACCGACUGGAUGAAAUGAGGAGGGUUUACAGCUGUGUUUUGUGUCAUGGCCUCAAUUUCAUCCAUAUUUCUUAAUAACAACUUGAAAACCUUUUUGUGACAACUUUCCCCUGCGAGAACCUCAAGACAAACCCAAAAAAUACAAAGGAAAUAUAAAUUAACAAUACCAAAAUGUGAACAGUCAGCAAAACUUUUCUGUUGUUUUUGUCAUUCACUGGCAUACAGUUUAACAUGAACCACAAAGCACUCGCUCUCUGGAAAACACACACUAUUAACAGUAUUUUCAGUCACACACACACACGCACGCACGCACGCACGCAUGCACACACACACACACACAGUCUGUGCAUAGACCCAGGUUUAUCUUGUGAAGUAACUGGUAAUUGGAGCUCUUUCUGUCCACUCCACAACUCCCCACUGUGGUUUGUCCUUUAAAGGUAAAUAACCCUUUAACCCAUUUGUUGCUACAGCAACAGAAGCUGGCUCUGGGCUAAAGGGCUUAACACAGAGAUAUGUCAAGAUAGAAAGAUCCAAACACACACUUUCCAUUGUCUAAUUCAGUGCCUUCUAUUGGCACAAGGUAAACAGAAAAAAGGCAACCAUAGAUGCACACCGUGUGGUUAGACCUACAAAAUAUCUGAUUCUGAAAACAGCUCUACAAAACAGCUAAGCGCUUUGUACACUUUUUUUAAAACACCUUUUUGACACCGUCAAAAUUUUGCAUUGCAUUUCUUUAUAUUUCAUUCAAUCAUUGAAAAGUUUCCCCCUCUGAAUGCACAGCGGUGCCAUGCUGACGCUCGCAGAGGAGGAUUCAGCAGAACAUGUUAGUGUCAUCAUCUAAAUCCACUUCAGGGCACUUUUAGAGGUGGCCAAGGCAAACCAACUAUUCUGUUAAGUCUGUCUGACAUUAAAGGGUUUGAAUGAUUGACAUCAAUUAUCCUGCACAUGAGUGAGUUGAGUCUCCAAACCUGCUGAAUCCAGUACAGAAAAUAAAGUAGCCUAGCUGUUAAUGCCUGGUUGUAAUUUAGGUUCAUCAGAAGUCUGUAGAAAGAUAAGAGGGCUGAGAGAGGAUAUGUAGCUGAUAUGAGGACAUGUACAAGUUCUUUGUGCUGUUUGUCGUCUUUCCAUCUUCACUGUGUGUAUCUAUAGAGACCUGUGGUUUUGAACAGUCCUAGUCAGUGCCAACUAUCACUUACAGGGUUGACAGCGAGGCAUCCAGAGCAGCCAGUCGCAACUAUGUCACUGAGAGGGGGGGGGAGAGGGAGGGGGGGGUGGAGCCAUGUUGAGUACUUGCAUGGUCUGUAAAAAGGGGGGCGGGGUCAACUUGUUCUAUUGCACAUACAUCUCUGCCUUUUCUUCAUUUCUGGCUUCCAAAUAAUCUCACAGUUAUAAACAGCAGCAAGUAGCAUUAUUUUUUUGUUUUCUGUUUAAAUAAAAAAAAAAAAAAAAAAAAAAAAAAAAAAG
Long non-coding RNA from Sphaeramia orbicularis (orbiculate cardinalfish), 1616 nucleotides. RefSeq lists it as uncharacterized. The transcript is spliced from 2 exons. Lineage: Eukaryota; Metazoa; Chordata; Actinopteri; Kurtiformes; Apogonidae. The record is from RefSeq and is a predicted model, not a curated record.